Molecule: RNA transcript, 2643 nt
Organism: Vollenhovia emeryi
Lineage: Eukaryota; Metazoa; Arthropoda; Insecta; Hymenoptera; Formicidae
Exons: 6
Source: RefSeq, a predicted model, not a curated record
UCCCGAACCCUCGGCUCUUCGUUCUUUUGCCUAUCGUCCGUCUUACAUCACGCGUCAUCGGUCGGCUCGCUUCCCACGUCGUCGACGGCCUCUCUCUCUCUCUCUCUCUCCCCCCUUCUCUCUCUCUUUCUCUUUCUCUUAUCGCGUGGAACGCGGCUGGUAAACAAACAAGUUGGACGCCGAUUUUCCACCCCGAGACAUCGUUAACAGACUUGGUCCUCGACGACGGGAAAAAUCGGGACGUCGCGACCCGACGGUGACGAGGCGGCAAGGUGCUCGGAGUGAUUUGCCGCCGUAUUUGGGUAUCGAUUGUGUGCGGCACGCUAGUUAUGUUCGAAACGUCGGGCACAGCUGAGAAGUGGAACGCCGCCGUCUCGUCGAGAUCGGAGCCCGGAGCGACAGAAUGAGAGCGCCGCUCGUGCUUUGCGUCGCCGCGGUUUUUCACACGAUCUUCGUGGCUUCGCAAGGCAACGAGGAUCACGAAAUACAAAAUUCCACGACGACGCAAGAUGUCGAGCGUGAGGCGAACCGCACAAAAUUGUUACUGGAGGGAAUUUUAAAUUUUAACUUGACGACCGACUCGCUCGACGAGGAGGACAAUUGCAAAUACAGGAGGGAAGCUUAUCGUUCGCGGAUCAAACGCCGUACGACGCAUCGCCCUCGUACGAAGUCGAACGCGAAAUCGAGAAACUCGAAGGGCGAUAAGAUGCGACAGGCCGACCGCGUUUCUAACAAAACCGAUUUUUAUGAGACCAAGGACGAGGGCUUCGAUGUGUCCCUUUGGAAUCGCACGGAGAGAAACGCGGACGACAUGCAGAUCUACGAUCACGAGUCUUUUCACGAUUACUAUCACAGAGGACUGGAGUCUCUCCUGAAAAGACUGAUAGAAGCGCUGGAGAACAAUUCCAGGGCGGACGAUCCCAACGUGCCGAGCUCGAGUGCCGCGAGUAGCCUCGACGACGAAGAUCACUGUCAGAAGUGGCUGAACAACUGGGAGAAGAUCGAGAGGGCCUUUCCGGGAUCAGUCGCCGAUCUGCCAGCGUGCCCCUGCCUGUACCCGAACAACAUCUUCUACGAGAACGAGAUCUGGGACAACAAGCGACAAAAGAAGUUUCGGUGGCGCGACGUGAGCCACGACAAGGACCGGCUCACGAUCUACAAGCCCGGCGCCGUUUACUGCGUGCUGACCCUACUGUCUCAGGAAAACGAGAGCGCUACCGUGCAGCACUGUUGCUACGAUGAGAGCAGGAAGCUACUGACCCGCGGUUCCGGCGCCGGUACACCUUACAUGAUCAGCCCGGACAUCUCGUCUCUACUGCACGACAAGAUCGACCUGCUGCCCUGGCGGCUUUGCAACGGUGACUUUACGAGGUACAAUGAAGUAAGAAUACCGAAUAAUGACAAUAAAUGCGACAUAAACCCGGAUGACGAAGAGUAUGAACAUCAAGUGGAAGCAGCGAAAAAUUAUUGAGAUACGAUAUUGUCGCGAUUGUACCAAAAAGAAGCAACACCUACCUAAUCUCCACUUCGAUUGUGUUCUCAAAAGGGAGUAGCGUAACGAAUUUAUAUUUAUUUACCAUUAUUUCUUUAAGCAUUCUAGUUUUAUAACAGUAUACCAUGUUGAAAAGUCCACUCAAGAAUGCCGUGUGCUGUUGGCCGUGUAAAAAUUAUUCUCUUUUCAUUUUGCGUGACAAAUUGUUAUAAUUACUUAAUAAUUAGUUAAUAAUCCAUUAAGCAGUGAUGGAGUAUUAAUAAAAUUUAUAUUAACAACAGCUAAUUAUAUUCCUCUCACUGAGCUGGGAGAAAUGCGAAAGAUGUGUGUAUAUGCGAUAUCACACGGUGUUUCGAACAUCAUACAUUUGUAAUUUAUAGUUAGAACCAUAGCUAACCAAGAAAUUAAUAAAAUCUCUCGUUUCAUACAUUACAUGGCUGUAGAAAUUAUGUCCUGUUUUGCGAAAACUUGACUAAUACAGUCAACAGUAUCUUACUACUUCUGACAUAUCAACAUUCUCGAGUGUUGCUUCUAGGUCCGACAUUUUGUUCGUUCUUUUGAGGAUAAUCCUUUCCUCCGAUUUGGUAUGAACAAGCGUGACCAUAUGUGAAUCCAGCGAAAGCUAUUUAUUUAAAGCAUGCACGUCGGUGGAAGUGAACCGAAUUUAAUGGAGGAAUAAACUAAACUAAUAUAAUUUCGUUUCUGUUUAGUUCAAGAGAGAAGAAAAGGACAGAAACUCUCAACGAGAAUUGCGACGGCUAUGGUCUACUUGAUGCUGCAAAUGCUUUGAAGCGUCUUCUCUUCCGUCUUUCUUUCCUAAAAGGAAGGAGAAGAGUGUUUCGAGAAUUUGUAGCAUCAAGUGAUGAUUAUCAUAAAAAUCAUCAGUACGGAAAGUCUAAAAUCAUGGGAUCUUUCCUUCUAUAUGAAAACUUGCGUGCUACCGUAGCACAGAUAUAGACCAAAAAGGAGCAUUUUACCAUCUCGAAAAGUGGAUGUGGCUACGUAGUUCCCACGUUCGCGAUAAAAUGGAUCAUGGCGUUGUGAAUCAAGCGCUGCGCCCUCCUAGCGCCAGGAAGUUCAGUAAUCUGAACUGUCGCAUUGUUGGAUAAGCGAAUCGGCAAUUUGGUGCACGAAUAGUUCUUUGAAACUUU